GACAGAGGCCCCAAGCGUUAGGCGGAAUCACUGGGCUUAAAGCGUGUGUAGGCGGAUCGUUAUGUGUCUUGUGAAAUCCCACGGCUCACCCGUGGAACUGCUGGGCAUACUGGCGAUCUUGGGCCAACUAGGGGCAGUCGGAACAAGCGGUGGAGCGGUGAAAUGCGUAGAUAUCGCUUGGAACGCCGAAGGUGAAAACAGACUGCUGGGGUUGCGCCGACGCUGAGACACGAAAGCCAGGGGAGCAAACGGG
Molecule: ribosomal RNA, 253 nt
Filed under: uncultured bacterium
Lineage: Bacteria
Description: partial 16S ribosomal RNA
Rfam family: Bacterial small subunit ribosomal RNA
Source: RNAcentral